AUUGUACUCCCUCCGUCCCAUAUUAAUUGUCGAAAUAUUACAUGUAUCUAGACGCUUUUUAGGCAUAGAAACAUCCAUAUUUGGACAAAUUUGAGACAAUUAAUAUGGGGCGGAGGGAGUACGAC
This is a non-coding RNA of Brachypodium distachyon (stiff brome), 125 nucleotides long. Lineage: Eukaryota; Viridiplantae; Streptophyta; Magnoliopsida; Poales; Poaceae. The record is from Rfam.